This 831-nucleotide ribosomal RNA is filed under the name Bacillus pumilus. RNAcentral's name for it is "bacterial SSU rRNA". It matches the Rfam family "Bacterial small subunit ribosomal RNA", at positions 353 to 1144 of the family's 1533-position model. The record is from RNAcentral. Lineage: Bacteria; Bacillati; Bacillota; Bacilli; Caryophanales; Bacillaceae.
AAUCCUGGGCCUUGUACACACAUGAAAAGUCUGACGGAGCAACGCCGCGUGAGUGAUGAAGGUUUUCGGAUCGUAAAGCUCUGUUGUUAGGGAAGAACAAGUGCGAGAGUAACUGCUCGCACCUUGACGGUACCUAACCAGAAAGCCACGGCUAACUACGUGCCAGCAGCCGCGGUAAUACGUAGGUGGCAAGCGUUGUCCGGAAUUAUUGGGCGUAAAGGGCUCGCAGGCGGUUUCUUAAGUCUGAUGUGAAAGCCCCCGGCUCAACCGGGGAGGGUCAUUGGAAACUGGGAAACUUGAGUGCAGAAGAGGAGAGUGGAAUUCCACGUGUAGCGGUGAAAUGCGUAGAGAUGUGGAGGAACACCAGUGGCGAAGGCGACUCUCUGGUCUGUAACUGACGCUGAGGAGCGAAAGCGUGGGGAGCGAACAGGAUUAGAUACCCUGGUAGUCCACGCCGUAAACGAUGAGUGCUAAGUGUUAGGGGGUUUCCGCCCCUUAGUGCUGGCGCCUAAACGCAUUAUGCACUCGCCCUUGGGGGAGUCAGUCCCAAGAACCCAACUCCAAGGAAUUACCGGGGGCCCCCCCCAGCGGUGGAACCAUGGUGGGUUUAAUUUCUAAACCACCUCCAAUAAACCAUACCAGGGAUUUGACAUCCCUCUUGUACAACCCUUAAAAGUAGAGGUUUUUCCCCUUUCCGGGCCAUAAAUUGACGGGGGGGAGCCAGGGGUAUGAUGUCACGCUCACUGUCACGGGACAUUGUUGGGGGGUUAGAUUCCAGAAAACAGAGGCACACCACUAGAAAGUUUGAUGGGUCCAAGCAUUUUUUAUUUU